AGCUCUUUGAAAUUAUGAAAGGUAGGACCUGCCCAGUGGAAUCUUAACGGCUGCAGUAUUUUGACUGUACAAAGGUAGCAUAAUCAAUUGUCUUGUAAUUAGGGACUGGAAUCAAUGGUUUGACGAGAGCUUAACUGUCUCACUCAUAAACUUAAAAACUUACCUCCAAGUGAAAAGGCUUGGAUAAAAUAAGAGGACAAGAAGACCCUAUUGAGCUUUAGAGAAUUAACUUAUAACAACAACUAUUAAAUAAAAGUGUAAUUAAGUGAAUAACUUUGGUUGGGGCAACCGAAGUACAACAUAAACCACUUCAUAAAGACUUACUCAUAAGUAUAAAUAUAAACAAAAAUGAUCCUAACAUUAAGAUCUGAAGAACAAGUUACCAUAGGGAUAACAGCAUAAUCUCUCCAGAGAGCUCUUAUCGAAGGAGAGGUUUGUGACCUCGAUGUUGGACUAAGAUAUCCUAUAGGUGCAGAAAUCUAUAAAGGUGGACCUGUUCGGUCUUUAAAAUCUUACAU
RNAcentral lists this ribosomal RNA (518 nucleotides) under Lophopodella carteri. RNAcentral's name for it is "partial 16S ribosomal RNA". It matches the Rfam family "Bacterial large subunit ribosomal RNA", at positions 1817 to 2601 of the family's 2925-position model. The record is from RNAcentral. Lineage: Eukaryota; Metazoa; Bryozoa; Phylactolaemata; Lophopodidae.